Molecule: long non-coding RNA, 209 nt
Filed under: Manihot esculenta (cassava)
Lineage: Eukaryota; Viridiplantae; Streptophyta; Magnoliopsida; Malpighiales; Euphorbiaceae
Description: long non-coding RNA (MESC_LNC012270)
Source: RNAcentral
CCACCAUACUCACAGUACCCUAUGUAUCCACCCCCUCCCUACCAUCCAAAUCCAGCAGACCCUACCUCGGGGAAUGUUGUACCUCCUCCACCCCCAGCAGAACCCACAGUUCCAGAAACCCACAUACCUAAACCUAGCUCAUCUGGAGGGAGCAAGGUGAAGAUGACCGACUACAUGAAGCUUGGUGCUCCUCAGUAUGACAAAGGGGA